RNAcentral lists this ribosomal RNA (586 nucleotides) under uncultured bacterium. RNAcentral describes it as "bacterial SSU rRNA". It matches the Rfam family "Bacterial small subunit ribosomal RNA", at positions 339 to 916 of the family's 1533-position model. The record is from RNAcentral.
CCACGGGAGGCAGCAGUAGGGAAUCUUCCGCAAUGGACGAAAGUCUGACGGAGCAACGCCGCGUGAACGAUGAAGGCUUUCGGGUCGUAAAGUUCUGUUGUCAGGGAAGAACAAGUACCGGAGUAACUGCCGGUACCUUGACGGUACCUGACCAGAAAGCCACGGCUAACUACGUGCCAGCAGCCGCGGUAAUACGUAGGUGGCAAGCGUUGUCCGGAAUUAUUGGGCGUAAAGCGCGCGCAGGCGGUUCCUUAAGUCUGAUGUGAAAGCCCCCGGCUCAACCGGGGAGGGUCAUUGGAAACUGGGGAACUUGAGUGCAGAAGAGGAGAGCGGAAUUCCACGUGUAGCGGUGAAAUGCGUAGAGAUGUGGAGGAACACCAGUGGCGAAGGCGGCUCUCUGGUCUGUAACUGACGCUGAGGCGCGAAAGCGUGGGGAGCGAACAGGAUUAGAUACCCUGGUAGUCCACGCCGUAAACGAUGAGUGCUAAGUGUUAGAGGGUUUCCGCCCUUUAGUGCUGCAGCUAACGCAUUAAGCACUCCGCCUGGGGAGUACGGCCGCAAGGCUGAAACUCAAAGGAAUUGACGG